GCAAACUUGGUCAUUUAGAGGAAGUAAAAGUCGUAACAAGGUUUCCGUAGGUGAACCUGCGGAAGGAUCAUUACAAAUCAUGGCGAACCUCGUGUUUCACGAGGUUUUUGCGUCCAUUUUUUCAUAUUUAAAACAUCCCACUCUUAAAAAAUAUUUAUUUAUGAUAAAAUAAAAAAAGAUCACUUUCAACAACGGAUCUCUUGGCUCUCAGAUGUGUAUAAGAGACAGGCAAACUUGGUCAUUUAGAGGAAGUAAAAGUCGUAACAAGGUUUCCGUAGGUGAACCUGCGGAAGGAUCAUUACAAAUCAUGGCGAACCUCGUGUUUCACGAGGUUUUUGCGUCCAUUUUUUCAUAUUUAAAACAUCCCACUCUUAAAAAAUAUUUAUUUAUGAUAAAAUAAAAAAAGAUCACUUUCAACAACGGAUCUCUUGGCUCUCGCAUCGAUGAAGAACGCAGC
RNAcentral lists this unclassified non-coding RNA (457 nucleotides) under uncultured fungus. RNAcentral describes it as "partial contains small subunit ribosomal RNA, internal transcribed spacer 1, and 5.8S ribosomal RNA". The stretch from base 1 to 73 matches the Rfam family "Eukaryotic small subunit ribosomal RNA", at positions 1759 to 1831 of the family's 1831-position model. Lineage: Eukaryota; Fungi. The record is from RNAcentral.